This 253-nucleotide ribosomal RNA is filed under the name uncultured bacterium. RNAcentral's name for it is "partial 16S ribosomal RNA". It matches the Rfam family "Bacterial small subunit ribosomal RNA", at positions 524 to 776 of the family's 1533-position model. The record is from RNAcentral.
UACGUAGGGGGCAAGCGUUGUCCGGAUUUAUUGGGCGUAAAGCGCGUGUAGGCGGCCAGAUAGGUCUGCUGUGAAAACUCGAGGCUCAACCUCGAGCUGUCGGCGGAAACCAUCUGGCUAGAGUCCGGAAGAGGAGAGUGGAAUUCCUGGUGUAGCGGUGAAAUGCGCAGAUAUCAGGAAGAACACCGGUGGCGAAGGCAGCUCUCUGGGACGGUACUGACGCUGAGACGCGAAAGCGUGGGGAGCGAACAGG